GGUCGGUUGUGUUAGGCAUAUUGCCCGAUGCACUUACACACGCUUGACCCACCAGCUUCGGCAAAUACAUUAAGAGGUACUGAGAACGAGGCGUACCGAAAGGGAGACUCGCGCAGUC
RNAcentral lists this non-coding RNA (118 nucleotides) under unclassified sequences. RNAcentral describes it as "Bacteriophage Diversity-Generating Retroelement RNA". It matches the Rfam family "Bacteriophage Diversity-Generating Retroelement RNA". The record is from Rfam by way of RNAcentral.